RNAcentral lists this ribosomal RNA (468 nucleotides) under uncultured bacterium. Its description in RNAcentral is "partial 16S ribosomal RNA". It matches the Rfam family "Bacterial small subunit ribosomal RNA", at positions 28 to 507 of the family's 1533-position model. The record is from RNAcentral.
GAUGAACGCUGGCGGCGUGCUUAACACAUGCAAGUCGAACGGAAAGGCCCUGCUUUUGUGGGGUGCUCGAGUGGCGAACGGGUGAGUAACACGUGAGUAACCUGCCCUUGACUUUGGGAUAACUCCAGGAAACUGGGGCUAAUACCGGAUAGGAGCUCCUGCUGCAUGGUGGGGGUUGGAAAGUUUCGGCGGUUUGGGAUAGGCUCGCGGCUUAUCCGCUUGUUGGUGGGGUAGUGGCUUACCAAGGGUUUGACGGGUAGCCGGCCUGAGAGGGUGACCGGCGACAUGGGGACUGAGAGACGGCCCAGAAGGCUACGGGAGGCAGCAGUGGAGAGUAUUGCACAGUGGGCGGAAGCCUGAUGCAGCAGCGCCGCGUGCGGGAUGACGGCCUUCGGGUUGUAAACCGCUUUCGCCUGUGACGAAGCGUGAGUGACGGUAAUGGGUAAAGAAGCACCGGCUAACUACGUG